CCUACGGGUGGCAGCAGUGGGGAAUAUUGCACAAUGGGGGAAACCCAGAUGCAGCAACGCCGCGUGAGCGAUGAAGGCCUUCGGGUCGUAAAGAUCUGUCCUAAGGGAAGAAUACUGACGGUACCUUAGGAGGAAGCCCCGUAUAACUACGUGCAAGCAGCCGCGGUAAUACGUAGGGGGGUAGCGUUAUCCGGAAUUACGGGGCGUAAAGGGUGCGUAGGCGGGCCAUCAAGUCAGAGGUGAAAGGCUACGGCUCUACCGUUGUAAGCCUUUGAAACUGAAGGGCUUGAGUGCAAGAGAGGAGAGUGGAAUUCCCAGUGUAGCGGUGAAAUGCGUAGAUAUUGGGAGGAACACCAGUUGCGAAGGCGGCUCUCUGGACUGUAACUGACGCUGAGGCUCGAAAGCGUGGGGAGAGAACAGGAUUAGAUACCCGGGUAGUC
RNAcentral lists this ribosomal RNA (440 nucleotides) under uncultured bacterium. Its description in RNAcentral is "bacterial SSU rRNA". It matches the Rfam family "Bacterial small subunit ribosomal RNA", at positions 338 to 795 of the family's 1533-position model. The record is from RNAcentral.